UCCCAUCUAGCUCAUAUCAUAGUUAGUUUUUGUGAAACCCUUGCGACAUCAGUACUUUGAAGUACCUAGCAAGUUCAUCAAACACAUUUUUCGAUUUAGGAUUACAAAAGUAGUUGUUUGAUUGCAAUCAUGUUUGCUCGCGUUCUUAUCGUAUGUAUUAUUUUUUCCUCGAUGAUCAUGAAAAUGGAUGCAGCAAUAGCUCUCAGUCAGCAAGAAUACGCAAAUGGAGGAGCAGACGUAUGUGACAACCCCGACCUUAAUGGACUUUGUUCAACCCACUUCGGGACUGGAUGUACAGGAAAUUGUGAGGAAGCUUGGAUAAGAUUCUCAUGGAAUAAUUCAAAUAGAGCAAAAAUUUUACUUUGCCGAAGAAAUAAUGCUGUUCAGGGAUGCCUGUAUAAUAAUAAGGGUACCGUUACAAAAACUGGUUGGGUAGACGGAAACGAGUGUGCUUAAAAUACACUAACACAAAGAAAACUGAUUUCCACCCUCUAAGUAUUUUGAAAUAGUUCUUCAAGACAGCCUCGUUCAUCAUAUCUGCUAUUUGGAAGAAUUAUCUCAAAAUACCUAGCUGUUGGAAAUUGCUUCUCUUUGUAUCCUUUUGAAAAAUUUUAAGUUAAGUUUUAUUGUUAUUAUUUUAUUCGAUUAGGUAGGUACCUAUAUUAAUUUAAAUAGUUUAUAUUAUAAAUUUUCACCAACGUGAAGUACGAAGUAGAUAAAUUUAUUAUAAUCAAAUAUUUCCCCUAAGGCCACGUUUUGUUUACAUUAAUAAUUAAUUUUACUUGUUUAAAUAUAUCUAUAAGCGCAAUUAA
Planococcus citri (citrus mealybug) is the source of this 812-nucleotide long non-coding RNA. RefSeq lists it as uncharacterized. NCBI's taxonomy places the organism in Eukaryota, Metazoa, Arthropoda, Insecta, Hemiptera, Pseudococcidae. The transcript has 2 exons. The record is from RefSeq and is a predicted model, not a curated record.